CAACGAGAUGAAUUUGAUGAGGACAUGAGAUCAGAAUUAGAGUGUGUUUUCCCCAAUUAUAUCCAAAUGCUUGAGGAAAGAAUUUGUGAUUUAGCCCGAGAAGACAAAGGAAUUGUUGUCGCAGGAGAGACCAGUUCUGGGAAAUCAACUCUGAUCAACACACUAAUUGGGGAAAACAUCUUGAAAUCUAGAACAACCCAAAACACUUCAACAAUUUGUAGAAUCUGGAAUUCAGAAAAUAUUGGACUAAAAGUCUACAACGACAAAAAUUAAUGCAUCCACUCCAAAUCAGAUUACACAAGAGACCAGCUGCCAGAAUUCCGGAAAGAAGUUCAAAAAUUUACAGAUGUGAACAACAUGCCCGAAAACUGCUCAUUUGUGGAUAUUUUGUAUCCAGUCUCUCUACUAAAGGGAAAAACAAUUUUAGUAGAUACCCCUGGAGUUGGAGGAAAUAAAGAUCUGGCAGAGUUGAUGAUGAAAUACUUACAAAACGCAGUGGCUUUCGUAUUUGUUGUUAAUGCUUCAAAUGCAGGAGGGGUACAGGAUGAUAGGCUACCGAUCAUUUUACAAGAAAUUCAACGCUUUCACUCAGACCACAAAAUACCAUGUUUUGAUCCGAGUGACGUCAUUUUUGUGACAAAUAAAUGGGACGUCAUUUAUUCUUCCUGUGAAGAGGGCGAGGACAAAGAGGAUAUAAAUCUUACUUGGGAAAAAGUCAAGGAAUCAAUCAAGAGGCACUGGAGAUCCGUGAAAGAUGACCAAAUUUUUCAAAUCUCACUGAAAAAGAUUUUUGGAUGCGAUUCUACGAAUAUUGGAGCGAGGAACAUGUGCAAGGAUCUCGUCCGCUAAAUCGUCUGAAGCCGAUCAUAAAAAAAGAGCGGAGGAAAAUAUUCAAUUUCUAGAAGAUCUUGUUCAGAAAAAACAACAGAUCAACAAAGAACUCCGAGCCAAAUUAGAAUCCUCAAUUACGGCCCUAAGUGAUGAUCUUAUGGAUUAUGUUUGCUCAGUUAAAGGAAAAAACGAAAUAUUAAACCCAGCUGGAGAAAAGGACAUUAAAGAAGGAAGUGUUUUUGUAUUACAAAGAAAAGUGAAGAAAAGAUACAUGAGUAUUAUUGAAAAUUGGCGCCAAGGUUCAAAAGUUUCCAGUGUCUUUCUAGUUCUUGAGCAGCAAAUCAAAGAUUCUUUUAGUGCAUUAAAGGAAAAAAAUUACGAUACUUGAAGAAAUAUUGAUAGGUUUCCGAUAUUCUCCACCAAACAAUGAUAUUACUACAACACCCGGUUGGUUCCCUGUUUUUGACAAAGCUGGGAACCUGUCUACAAUGGCCGGUAUUGCUCUUUCUUCACUUUUUUCUGCGGCCUUUCGAGACUUUAAGAAAACCACAGCCAUUGACAAAAUUUACGAAAAGUGCAUAAAAGUUUAUGAUAAAGAAACUGCAAAAAGAGAUUUGGAGAAUAUUUAUGGAACCCACUACAGGAAUGUAAUUGAGUGGGUGCUUGAUGAGUCGAUUGAAGGUGACCUCAGAAGUUUGAACAAAACGAUAACACAGGUGUAUGAAAAACGAAAGGAGUACCAAACUAAACUUGAAAACUACCAACUUUUCAAAGAAGGUCUGGAGGAUCUUAAAAAGCAAAUGAAGGAAACAGAUGAUGAUAUUUCCAAAAUGCUUGAAACCAAUCAACUUUAAGGAGUUUAUGCCUGAUUAAAACCUGAUUGACUUUUGAAACUUAACUUACAAGUACGUUAUACGUGGAGACUUGUUGUUUUAAAAUGAAACUUGUCUUUUUCUUUGUGACUCGUUUAGCUCUAUCCUAACGUUCCUUUUUUGUUGACUGUGUUUUAUAAUGCGUUUUAAGUCAAACUACCCCAAAGUAUCAUUUAAUAAAUUAUAUUCCAUUCUU
Saccostrea cuccullata (small rock oyster) is the source of this 1899-nucleotide long non-coding RNA. RefSeq lists it as uncharacterized. Lineage: Eukaryota; Metazoa; Mollusca; Bivalvia; Ostreida; Ostreidae. The record is from RefSeq and is a predicted model, not a curated record. The transcript has 7 exons.